GGGCCUGUAGCUCAAUGGCGGAGCAGGCGGCUCAUAACCGCUUGGUUGAAGGUUCGAAUCCUUCCGGGCCCA
Molecule: transfer RNA, 72 nt
Filed under: bacterium
Lineage: Bacteria
Also listed under: 6 other names
Description: tRNA-Ile
Rfam family: tRNA
About the family: Transfer RNA (tRNA) molecules are approximately 80 nucleotides in length. Their secondary structure includes four short double-helical elements and three loops (D, anti-codon, and T loops). Further hydrogen bonds mediate the characteristic L-shaped molecular structure. tRNAs have two regions of fundamental functional importance: the anti-codon, which is responsible for specific mRNA codon recognition, and the 3' end, to which the tRNAs corresponding amino acid is attached (by aminoacyl-tRNA synthetases). tRNAs cope with the degeneracy of the genetic code in two manners: having more than one tRNA (with a specific anti-codon) for a particular amino acid; and 'wobble' base-pairing, i.e. permitting non-standard base-pairing at the 3rd anti-codon position.
Source: RNAcentral